Molecule: ribosomal RNA, 247 nt
Filed under: Staphylococcus aureus
Lineage: Bacteria; Bacillati; Bacillota; Bacilli; Caryophanales; Staphylococcaceae
Description: partial 23S ribosomal RNA
Rfam family: Bacterial large subunit ribosomal RNA
Source: RNAcentral
CCUUAGUACGAGAGGACCGGGAUGGACAUACCUCUGGUGUACCAGUUGUCGUGCCAACGGCAUAGCUGGGUAGCUAUGUGUGGACGGGAUAAGUGCUGAAAGCAUCUAAGCAUGAAGCCCCCCUCAAGAUGAGAUUUCCCAACUUCGGUUAUAAGAUCCCUCAAAGAUGAUGAGGUUAAUAGGUUCGAGGUGGAAGCAUGGUGACAUGUGGAGCUGACGAAUACUAAUCGAUCGAAGACUUAAUCAA